CUGAAAGGCAGCAUCUGGGUUCUGUUUCCCAUUGUAACACUGAGGAUCCAACACUUUCAGGAAUAGACCAGGUGCUCGACCAGAUCAAUGCAUGCGAAUCUCAGCCCCUGUGUACCUCCUACAGUCUGAACAUCACACCAGGAACUUCACAAACAUUCCCUCACUGAGUCAUCUCAAUAGGCCUAGGAGGCAGAUACCAUCAUCUCUGCUCUAUAGACAUGGAAACUAAGGCACAGCAACUUGCCCAGGGCCAUUUGUAAACAGAAUUUGUAUCCAGAUCGAUUUGAUGAACAUGAGCAUGGCAUUUUCAAAAGACCAGUGGCCAACUAGAAGCGUAUAUUGGAGAACAGCAGAGAAAAGACUGGGUCUGAACUACACGCUUGUGAGACAAGGCCGCUGUGUGUGUACAUGUGUGUGUGUAAACAGUAGUGAGGGUCGGAGUUUAGUAAACUUGGCAGAUCUAGCUCAUAACGCAGCAUAAAUGUAUCACAGCAGCUUCCAUUCUGAGGCCUGGGAGCAAGGGGUGCUGUGGUGCAUGAGGGCUAAGAAAGGACAAACAGGAAGAAGGACAAAUGGGAAGGGAAAAGAGAGGGAGGAGAAGGAUAGUUCUGACAUGUCUGGAAACAGAACAUGUGUUUCUUCAGCUUGUCCCCCCACCUCCUACGUGCAUGUCUCUGCCCUAUGGUGGCCUCGUUCUCAGAGCGUCAGCGCACAGAUGCUGUCUCAGAUCCCACCAUGGCACUUCACCAGGUACGGGAGGCUUUGGCCCCCCAAAUGCACCCAUGUCCUAAUUCCUGGAACCUACAAGUGUAUAAAGGCCAAAAAAGGGACUUUGCAGAUUUGAUUACAUUAAGCAUUUUGAGGUGGGGAGAUUAUCCAGAUAGGCCUUAAAUGUAACCAUAAGCAUCUUUUUUUUUUUGAAGGUUCUGUUUUUAUUGAUUAGAUCUAGGUAUAGUUGCAAUCUUUCCACCAUACAUACGAUAUAAAUCGGUGGGUUGCCAUUUCCUUCUCCAAUGCAUGAAAGUGAAAAGUGAAAGUGAAGUCGCUUAGUCGGUGUCUGACUCUUGAGACCCCGUGGACUGCAGCCUACCAGGCUCCUCCGUCCAUGGGAUUUUCCAAGCAAGAGUACUGGAGUGGGGUGCCAUUGCCUUCUCCAAUCAAACAAAUAACAUACAUAUAAUAUAAAUGGGAAUGAAUGACCCACUAUUGAUCGGACAUAUUCUGGUAGCUACACAGUAUUGUCCUAUUCUUUCUCUGGUUAAUUUUGAGUCUGGAAGAACAUCAGUCCUCUAUUUAAGCUGCUGUAUAUCUAACUGUCCAAAUUAAAUUAAUCUAGUAAACAGAAAAUAAAUAUUUACACAAACUUGAAGGAUCAUGCUAGGUUUUGUACAUGAGUAACAAGAACAGAAUUCAUAAUUACAUUUUUAAAUGUUUAUCUGGCUGUUUUUUUGUGGGUUAGAUUGAUA
RNAcentral lists this long non-coding RNA (1466 nucleotides) under Bos grunniens (domestic yak). Its description in RNAcentral is "lncRNA (ENSBGRG00000019470.1)". Lineage: Eukaryota; Metazoa; Chordata; Mammalia; Artiodactyla; Bovidae. The record is from RNAcentral.